GCUUGCUAUCAGGCGUCGAGCGGCGGACGGGUGAGUAAUACUUAGGAAUCUACCUAGUAGUGGGGGAUAGCACGGGGAAACUCGUAUUAAUACCGCAUACGACCUACGGGAGAAAGGGGGCAGUUUACUGCUCUCGCUAUUAGAUGAGCCUAAGUCGGAUUAGCUAGAUGGUGGGGUAAAGGCCUACCAUGGCGACGAUCUGUAGCUGGUCUGAGAGGAUGAUCAGCCACACCGGGACUGAGACACGGCCCGGACUCCUACGGGAGGCAGCAGUGGGGAAUAUUGGACAAUGGGGGAAACCCUGAUCCAGCCAUGCCGCGUGUGUGAAGAAGGCCUUUUGGUUGUAAAGCACUUUAAGCAGUGAAGAAGACUCCGUGGUUAAUACCCACGGACGAUGACAUUAGCUGCAGAAUAAGCACCGGCUAACUCUGUGCCAGCAGCCGCGGUAAUACAGAGGGUGCAAGCGUUAAUCGGAAUUACUGGGCGUAAAGGGAGCGUAGGUGGCUCGAUAAGUCAGAUGUGAAAUCCCCGGGCUCAACCUGGGAACUGCAUCUGAUACUGUUGAGCUAGAGUAUGUGAGAGGAAGGUAGAAUUCCAGGUG
Molecule: ribosomal RNA, 601 nt
Filed under: Psychrobacter glaciei
Lineage: Bacteria; Pseudomonadati; Pseudomonadota; Gammaproteobacteria; Moraxellales; Moraxellaceae
Description: bacterial SSU rRNA
Rfam family: Bacterial small subunit ribosomal RNA
Source: RNAcentral